GAGUUUGAUCCUGGCUCAGGAUGAACGCUAGCGGCAGGCUUAAUACAUGCAAGUCGAACGGUAACAUGAGAGCUUGCUCUUGAUGACNAGUGGCGCACGGGUGCGUAACGCGUAUGCNACCUACCUUUUACUGGGGGAUAGCCNGGAGAAAUUCUGAUUAAUACCCCAUAGUACUGUAAUGUAGCAUUACAUAGCAGUUAAAGAUUUAUUGGUAAAGGAUGGGCAUGCGUGACAUUAGUUAGUUGGUAAGGUAACGGCUUACCAAGACGAUGAUGUCUGGGGGUUCUGAGAGGAAGGUCCCCCACACUGGUACUGAGACACGGACCAGACUCCUACGGGAGGCAGCAGUAGGGAAUAUUGGUCAAUGGACGCAAGUCUGAACCAGCCAUGCCGCGUGCAGGAUGACAGCUUUCUGAGUUGUAAACUGCUUUUAUAUAGGAACAAAGAGGCCAUGCGUGGCAAGUUGCGUGUACUAUAUGAAUAAGCACCGGCUAACUCCGUGCCAGCAGCCGCGGUAAUACGGAGGGUGCAAGCGUUGUCCGGAUUUAUUGGGUUUAAAGGGUGCGUAGGUGGUUUUUUAAGUCAGUGGUGAAAGCCUACAGCUUAACUGUAGAGGUGCCAUUGAUACUGGAGAACUUGAGUAUGGACGAGGUAGGCGGAAUUUGUGGUGUAGCGGUGAAAUGCAUAGAUACCACAAAGAACACCGAUAGCGAAGGCAGCUUACUGGACCAUAACUGACACUGAGGCACGAAAGCGUGGGGAGCGAACAG
RNAcentral lists this ribosomal RNA (770 nucleotides) under uncultured bacterium. RNAcentral describes it as "bacterial SSU rRNA". It matches the Rfam family "Bacterial small subunit ribosomal RNA", at positions 9 to 775 of the family's 1533-position model. The record is from RNAcentral.